GACGAACGCUGGCGGCGUGCUUAACACAUGCAAGUCGAACGGAAAGGCACUGCUUUUGUGGGGUGCUCGAGUGGCGAACGCGUGCGUAACACGUGAGUAACCUGCCCUUGACUUUGGGAUAACUUCAGGUAACUGGGGCUAAUACCGUAUAGGAGCCCAUGCUGCGUGGUAGGGGUUGGAUAGUCUCGGCGGGUGGGGAUGGACUCGCGGCUUAUCAGCUUGUUAGUGGGGUAGGGGUUUACCAAGGAUUUGACGGGUAGCCGGCCUGAGAGGGUGACCGGCCACAUUGGGACUGAGAUACGGCCCAGACUCCUACGGGAGGCAGCAGUGGGGAAUAUUGCACAAUGGGCGGAAGUCUGAUGCAGCAACGCCGCGUGCGGGAUGACGGCCUUCGGGUUGUAAACCGCUUUCGCCUGUGACGAAGCGUGAGUGACGGUAAUGGGUAAAGAAGCACCGGCUAACUACGUG
This 468-nucleotide ribosomal RNA is filed under the name uncultured bacterium. Its description in RNAcentral is "partial 16S ribosomal RNA". It matches the Rfam family "Bacterial small subunit ribosomal RNA", at positions 28 to 507 of the family's 1533-position model. The record is from RNAcentral.